Molecule: ribosomal RNA, 253 nt
Filed under: uncultured bacterium
Lineage: Bacteria
Description: partial 16S ribosomal RNA
Rfam family: Bacterial small subunit ribosomal RNA
Source: RNAcentral
UACAGAGGUCUCAAGCGUUGUUCGGAUUCAUUGGGCGUAAAGCGUGCGUAGACGGCUAUCUAAGUCGGGUGUGAAAGCCCCGGGCUCAACCUGGGAAUUGCAUUCGAGACUGAAUAGCUAGGGUGCGGUAGAGGGAAGCGGAAUUUCCGGUGUAGCGGUGAAAUGCGUAGAUAUCGGAAGGAACAUCAGUGGCGAAAGCGGCUUCCUGGACCAGCACCGACGUUCAGGCACGAAAGCGUGGGGAGCAAACAGG